AAGUCGUAACAAGGUUUCCGUAGGUGAACCUGCGGAAGGAUCAUUAUCAUAACGUAUCCACGUAUAAACCAAUCUUUAAUGUGAAUUGUAAAUGUUUAACCCUUUGGUAAUGAUAUAUGGUAUUGCGAAAGCAAUUCGUUAUCAAAGGUUGUAAUCAUAACCAUUUAACUUACUUUAUUAACCAAUUGAACCGAUUAACUUAAUUGUUAUUCAUAUUUCUUUAUUGUGAACUGAAUUGUUCUUUACUGCUUUUGUAACAAAAGGUAGAAAGAAUUAUAUUUACGAAACAUAAAUUAUGAACAACUCUUAGCAACGGAUAUCUUGGUUCUC
Molecule: unclassified non-coding RNA, 330 nt
Filed under: fungal sp.
Lineage: Eukaryota; Fungi
Description: partial internal transcribed spacer region
Rfam family: Eukaryotic small subunit ribosomal RNA (bases 1-46)
Source: RNAcentral